UACGAAGGGUGCAAGCGUUAUCCGGGAUUAUUGGGCGUAAAGAGCUCGUAGGUGGUUCGGUAAGUCGGAUGUGAAAUCUCCAGGCUCAACCUGGAGGGGUCAUUCGAUACUGCCGUGACUAGAGGUCGGUAGGGGAGUGUGGAAUUCCUGGUGGAGCGGUGAAAUGCGCAGAUAUCAGGAGGAACACCCGUAGCGAAGGCGGCACUCUGGGCCGAUACUGACACUGAGGAGCGAAAGCGUGGGGAGCGAACAGG
This 254-nucleotide ribosomal RNA is filed under the name uncultured bacterium. Its description in RNAcentral is "partial 16S ribosomal RNA". It matches the Rfam family "Bacterial small subunit ribosomal RNA", at positions 524 to 776 of the family's 1533-position model. The record is from RNAcentral.